Long non-coding RNA from Herpailurus yagouaroundi (jaguarundi), 1749 nucleotides. RefSeq lists it as uncharacterized. The transcript has 2 exons. NCBI's taxonomy places the organism in Eukaryota, Metazoa, Chordata, Mammalia, Carnivora, Felidae. The record is from RefSeq and is a predicted model, not a curated record.
AUUGCAAAGUUUUUAUUCAACCCCCAGAACUCAUGGUAUCAUUCUUAGAGUUUUUUAAGUGGUUCCGCCACUGGACUGCAUUAGAGCUCUUUAUAUUUGAAAGUACAUCAGUGAAAAAUAAAAACAUCAUCACCAUUCAGCCAAAUGCCAUUCCUUCUCCCAGUAAAAUUUAAAUUACACAAUGUACUUUUACCAUUUUCUUCUUUUACAUGCGUAAAAAAUUUAAAUGCCAUACUGAAAGAAUCUAUAUUAUAAAAUGUAUAUUAAAAAUAGAUUGAAGACUUUAUUUUUCAGAGGUUACAAGGGUUACUGUAAAGUCUAAGGGAAUGCAGUGGGUCACCUAAACAUGUUUUUGGAAGUGGUAAACUGUGGGAAAAUACGUGAAAGAAUUUUUUGUUGCUGUUGACAAGCAUUCAAAGUAUGUGUAUGUAUUUAUUUCAUUCAAUGUGCUAUUAGUCACAUGUUUAUAUUAAGAAUCAUGGUUAUUCUAAUAGUUUUGACUUGAUCUUAACAGAGUUUUAUGAAUAGUUUGCAAGUAAAAACAAUUGGUUGACAUUCACAUGGGCUAACUUCAUUUUAAAAUAAUAUGUUAUGAUAGUAAAGUAUUCCUUGAUUCUUCAUGUUUAUUUUCAAAUAUGAAUUCCUCAGAUUCCUUCUUUGUUACAUAUUUCAUCAAUACUCUAAAAGGUAGAAGAUUGUGAACUAUAUUUUAAAUAUAAAAAUGUUUUCUACCUUUUAAUCUGUAGGUAAGUGCCAUUGAUUUAGAUUACAAGUUUGGAAAAGAGUAAAAUGAUUGAUCUUGUAUUUGGGAAGGUAAUUAACUUUUUUUUUUUGUUCUCUUAAUAUUAGAAGUGUCCUUGGGUGUUUUUAAUUUGAAAAGAAGGUGUAAUCAGUGACAGAGCUGCAGUAAAACAUUGUGUUAUUAGUUUGUUACUUAUUUAUUGUCUGUUGUGUGCCAGCCAUUGAUCUUGGUACUGGAAGUACAGCAGUGGGAGUAAAAAGUUAAAGACAAAGCCAUGAAUCAUAGGUUUCAGUAAUGAGAACUGACAACAAACUGCUAUGAGUAAAACGUUAGAAAUAACCAAGGCUAUGAAGAAAAUAAUUUUUAGAAAUUAAAUUUAUAAUAUGUGUAUAUUAAUCUAUCUUCUUCUGGAGAGAGUGCCAUUUUAAGUAUUUUGCUUAUUUCAUAUAUAAUUCAAGUAUCAUUAAUCAGAUUCACUGUGUUUGAAUUCCGUAUCUUUGAAUUAUAUACCUACUGUAAAUAUGUAUGCAGUCACAUUAUGUGGCUAUUACUCUAUGAAAUCCCUUCCUGUGAUACUGUGUCCAUAUUUUCCUUAUCAGUGGUAGUCAUCUGUUUAUUUGAAAAUGGGGGAGGAAGAAGGUUAUCAUCUUCAUUCGUUAGUCAUUCAGUAUUAGCACACUUGAAUUUCAUUGGUAUAAAUGAAUUGCACACGUACUAUGUUUUAGCAAGAGCAAAACCUCAUUGGGAACUUUCACAUCAUGUUAGUUUCAUAAUGGCAUAAGGUCUUUCUUAAGCUGUGAAAUGAUUAAAAUAAUUCUAGCUCCAGUGUAUCCAAUUUAAGGUUUCUCUUGGGAAAUCAGAAGUUUCUUUGUGGUGUUUCUUUGAAUUUAAAAUCAUUAAGCAUUAGAUUGUUUUCAACUAAAUUUUAUUAUUAAAACUACUUUGUAACUCUGGCACAAGGUACAUUAACUUGCAUAUUAAAGUAAUAAAGCCGAAGAAAGACUGUG